RNAcentral lists this ribosomal RNA (336 nucleotides) under uncultured bacterium. RNAcentral's name for it is "bacterial SSU rRNA". It matches the Rfam family "Bacterial small subunit ribosomal RNA", at positions 8 to 334 of the family's 1533-position model. The record is from RNAcentral.
AGGGUUUGAUUAUGGCUCAGAUUGAACGCUGGCGGCGUGCUUAACACAUGCAAGUCGUACGCGAAAGGGACUUCGGUCCCGAGUAAAGUGGCGCACGGGUGAGUAACACGUGGAUAAUCUGCCUCUAUGAUGGGGAUAACAGUUGGAAACGACUGCUAAUACCGAAUACGCUCAUGAUGAACUUUGUGAGGAAAGGUGGCCUCUGCUUGCAAGCUAUCGCAUAGAGAUGAGUCCGCGUCCCAUUAGCUAGUUGGUGGGGUAACGGCCUACCAAGGCAACGAUGGGUAGCCGAUCUGAGAGGAUGAUCGGCCACACUGGAACUGAAACACGGUCCAG